CAAUUGCAACAAAAAGGCAUGCUUCCCAAUCCCAAGGUAUAGAAUUCAAUUAAAGGUUAAAGAUAGCUCAGGAAUGGCCACAUUCAUUUUAUUUGAUUCAGAAGCAGAAAAAUUACUCAACAUAUCAGCCAAAGACCUUUUGAAUAAAUCUUUAGAGGAGCCCGAUGAAGUCAUCCUUCCUGUGCAAAUAGAAAAUCUGAAAGGAAAACAAUUUGUUUUCCAAAUACAACUAAAUA
Long non-coding RNA from Quercus lobata, 236 nucleotides. RefSeq lists it as uncharacterized. The record is from RefSeq and is a predicted model, not a curated record. The transcript is spliced from 3 exons. NCBI's taxonomy places the organism in Eukaryota, Viridiplantae, Streptophyta, Magnoliopsida, Fagales, Fagaceae.